GACGAACGCUGGCGGCGUGCUUAACACAUGCAAGUCGAACGGUGAAGGGACCAGCUUGCUGGUUCUGGAUGAGUGGCGAACGGGUGAGUAACACGUGAGUAACCUGCCCCCUUCUUCUGGAUAACCGCAUGAAAGUGUGGCUAAUACGGGAUAUUCUGGGUCUGUCGCAUGGCGGGCCCGGGAAAGAUAUUGCUUCGGUGGGGGAUGGGCUCGCGGCCUAUCAGCUUGUUGGUGGGGUGAUGGCCUACCAAGGCGGUGACGGGUAGCCGGCCUGAGAGGGUGGACGGUCACACGGGGACUGAGACACGGCCCAGACUCCUACGGGAGGCAGCAGUGGGGAAGAUUGCACAAUGGGCGCAAGCCUGAUGCAGCGACGCCGCGUGAGGGAUGGAGGCCUUCGGGUUGUAAACCUCUUUCGCCAGUGAAGCAGGCCUGCUCCGUGUGGGUGGAUUGACGGUAGCUGGAUAAGAAGCGCCGGCUAACUACGUG
This 489-nucleotide ribosomal RNA is filed under the name uncultured bacterium. RNAcentral's name for it is "partial 16S ribosomal RNA". It matches the Rfam family "Bacterial small subunit ribosomal RNA", at positions 28 to 507 of the family's 1533-position model. The record is from RNAcentral.